GAUGAACGCUGGCGGCGUGCCUAAUACAUGCAAGUCGAGCGAACAGAUGAGGAGCUUGCUCCUCUGACGUUAGCGGCGGACGGGUGAGUAACACGUGGAUAACCUACCUAUAAGACUGGGAGAACUUCGGGAAACCGGAGCUAAUACCGGAUAAUAUAUUGAACCGCAUGGUUCAAUAGUGAAAGACGGUUUUGCUGUCACUUAUAGAUGGAUCCGCGCCGCAUUAGCUAGUUGGUAAGGUAACGGCUUACCAAGGCAACGAUGCGUAGCCGACCUGAGAGGGUGAUCAGCCACACUGGAACUGAGACACGGUCCAGACUCCUACGGGAGGCAGCAGUAGGGAAUCUUCCGCAAUGGGCGAAAGCCUGACGGAGCAACGCCGCGUGAGUGAUGAAGGUCUUCGGAUCGUAAAACUCUGUUAUUAGGGAAGAACAAAUGUGUAAGUAACUAUGCACGUCUUGACGGUACCUAAUCAGAAAGCCACGGCUAACUACGUG
This 497-nucleotide ribosomal RNA is filed under the name uncultured bacterium. Its description in RNAcentral is "partial 16S ribosomal RNA". It matches the Rfam family "Bacterial small subunit ribosomal RNA", at positions 28 to 507 of the family's 1533-position model. The record is from RNAcentral.